UGUAGCUCAGUGGUAGAGUGCAUAUGUGAGGACCUGGGUUCAAUUCCCAGCA
RNAcentral lists this transfer RNA (52 nucleotides) under Neotoma lepida (desert woodrat). It matches the Rfam family "tRNA", at positions 6 to 65 of the family's 71-position model. Rfam says of the family: Transfer RNA (tRNA) molecules are approximately 80 nucleotides in length. Lineage: Eukaryota; Metazoa; Chordata; Mammalia; Rodentia; Cricetidae. The record is from Rfam by way of RNAcentral.